RNAcentral lists this transfer RNA (72 nucleotides) under Methanobrevibacter millerae. Its description in RNAcentral is "tRNA_Pseudo_TGG". It matches the Rfam family "tRNA". Rfam says of the family: Transfer RNA (tRNA) molecules are approximately 80 nucleotides in length. Their secondary structure includes four short double-helical elements and three loops (D, anti-codon, and T loops). Further hydrogen bonds mediate the characteristic L-shaped molecular structure. tRNAs have two regions of fundamental functional importance: the anti-codon, which is responsible for specific mRNA codon recognition, and the 3' end, to which the tRNAs corresponding amino acid is attached (by aminoacyl-tRNA synthetases). tRNAs cope with the degeneracy of the genetic code in two manners: having more than one tRNA (with a specific anti-codon) for a particular amino acid; and 'wobble' base-pairing, i.e. permitting non-standard base-pairing at the 3rd anti-codon position. The record is from RNAcentral. Lineage: Archaea; Methanobacteriati; Methanobacteriota; Methanobacteria; Methanobacteriales; Methanobacteriaceae.
GGGAGAGUGGUGUACGGGUUAGCAUCUGUGCUUUGGAAGCAUGGGAAUCAAGUUCGAGUCUUGGCUUUCCCA